RNAcentral lists this transfer RNA (73 nucleotides) under Thermaerobacter composti. RNAcentral describes it as "tRNA-Thr". It matches the Rfam family "tRNA". Rfam says of the family: Transfer RNA (tRNA) molecules are approximately 80 nucleotides in length. Their secondary structure includes four short double-helical elements and three loops (D, anti-codon, and T loops). Further hydrogen bonds mediate the characteristic L-shaped molecular structure. tRNAs have two regions of fundamental functional importance: the anti-codon, which is responsible for specific mRNA codon recognition, and the 3' end, to which the tRNAs corresponding amino acid is attached (by aminoacyl-tRNA synthetases). tRNAs cope with the degeneracy of the genetic code in two manners: having more than one tRNA (with a specific anti-codon) for a particular amino acid; and 'wobble' base-pairing, i.e. permitting non-standard base-pairing at the 3rd anti-codon position. RNAcentral also lists the same sequence under 7 other names. Lineage: Bacteria; Bacillati; Bacillota; Clostridia; Eubacteriales; Clostridiales Family XVII. Incertae Sedis. The record is from RNAcentral.
GCUGCCGUAGCUCAGUCGGUAGAGCACAGCCAUGGUAAGGCUGGUGUCGGCGGUUCGAUUCCGCCCGGCAGCU